GUAGGCGGAUCGUUAAGUCGGGGGUGAAAUCCUGGAGCUCAACUCCAGAACUGCCUUCGAUACUGGCGAUCUUGAGUCCGGAAGAGGUGGGUGGAACUCCUAGUGUAGAGGUGGAAUUCGUAGAUAUUAGGAAGAACACCAGUGGCGAAGGCGGCUCACUGGUCCGGUACUGACGCUGAGGUGCGAAAGCGUGGGGAGCAAACAGGAUUCGAUACCCUGGUAGUCCACGCCGUAAACUAUGAGAGCUAGCCGUUGGAGGGUUUACCCUUCAGUGGCGCAGCUAACGCAUUAAGCUCUCCGCCUGGGGAGUACGGUCGCAAGAUUAAAACUCAAAGGAAUUGA
Molecule: ribosomal RNA, 342 nt
Filed under: uncultured bacterium
Lineage: Bacteria
Description: bacterial SSU rRNA
Rfam family: Bacterial small subunit ribosomal RNA
Source: RNAcentral